RNAcentral lists this small RNA (804 nucleotides) under Pongo abelii (Sumatran orangutan). Its description in RNAcentral is "processed transcript". Lineage: Eukaryota; Metazoa; Chordata; Mammalia; Primates; Hominidae. The record is from RNAcentral.
CGGCCCUAGAGCGCGGGACGCGGCAAAGUCAUGGACCGCAACCCUUCGCCGCCGCUGACGGGUCGCGACAAGGAGGAGAAGGAGGAGGUGGCCGGUGGAGACUGCAUAGGGAGCACGGUCUACAGCAAACACUGGCUCUUCGGCGUCCUCAGCGGACUCAUCCAGAUUGUUAGCCCUGAAAACACCAAAUCUAACUCAGAUGAUGAGGAGCAGCAGACGGAGCUUGAUGAAGAAAUGGAGAAUGAAAUUUGCAGAGUAUGGGAUAUGUCAAUGGAUGAGGAUGUGGCUUUAUUUCUCCAAGAAUUUAAUGCUCCUGAUAUAUUCAUGGGAGUACUGGCCAAGUCCAAGUGUCCUCGAUUAAGAGAAAUCUGUGUGGGAAUUUUAGGUAAUAUGGCCUGUUUCCAGGAGAUAUGUGUGUCCAUCAGCAGUGAUAAAAGUCUUGGGCAGGUGUUAUUGCACUGUUUGUAUGAUUCAGACCCACCUACUCUGCUGGAAACAAGCAGAAAUUCAACCCACGUUUACCAUGUAGGUUGUUGCUUACUUGCCUUUCCCAGGCAGAAGUGGCCAGUGUUUGGGUUGAAAGGAUCCGGGAACAUCCAGCUAUUUAUGAUAGCAUUUGCUUCAUUAUGUCAAGUUCAACAAAUGUUGACUUGCUGGUGAAGGUGGGGGAGGUUGUGGACAAGCUCUUUGAUUUGGAUGAGAAACUAAUGUUAGAAUGGGUCAGAAAUGGGGGAACUCAGCCUCUGGACCAACCCCAGGAAGAGUCUGAAGAGCAGCCAGUGUUUCGGCUUGUGCCCUGUGUAC